UCCGUAGGUGAACCUGCGGAAGGAUCAUUGUCG
RNAcentral lists this ribosomal RNA (33 nucleotides) under Hordeum vulgare. Its description in RNAcentral is "partial 18S ribosomal RNA". Lineage: Eukaryota; Viridiplantae; Streptophyta; Magnoliopsida; Poales; Poaceae. The record is from RNAcentral. RNAcentral also lists the same sequence under 2 other names.